RNAcentral lists this transfer RNA (78 nucleotides) under Bacteroides pyogenes JCM 10003. RNAcentral describes it as "tRNA-Pro". It matches the Rfam family "tRNA". From Rfam's summary of the family: Transfer RNA (tRNA) molecules are approximately 80 nucleotides in length. Their secondary structure includes four short double-helical elements and three loops (D, anti-codon, and T loops). Lineage: Bacteria; Pseudomonadati; Bacteroidota; Bacteroidia; Bacteroidales; Bacteroidaceae. RNAcentral also lists the same sequence under 1 other name. The record is from RNAcentral.
CGGGGUGUAGCGCAGUCCGGUUAGCGCACCUACUUUGGGAGCAGGGGGUCGUGGGUUCGAAUCCCGCUACCCCGACUA